UUUAAAAAUGGAUUGAUAGGAUAUUUGUAAAUAUAUAGAAACAAAACAUGUAGACAGAUUUGUAAAAUUUUUGGUCGGUAGCAGCCAAGGAGUGGAGUAGUUGAGCAGUAGGUCCCCAGAAAGAAGGCCUAUACACUAUCACAUUAUGAAGAACUAUCUGUCAAAGGAUCAAAGUAGUGUCCGCCACUCUGUGCAAACAACCAUGCCCUAAACAUAAAGCUCCUUUGCAAACUCUAGAGAAGGCGGGCUUGCUCUUCGGUGUCGGCACUAAGCUAGGGAUCAACCUUGUCAUCGAGAUCAAGGUUGACCUCGUCAGGCGUGGGGGUGAGGUCACACAUGUUCAUCGUCGUGGGUGGUCCUCCUCGUCCAUGAAGUGUGCCUGCAGCAGUACCAUGUGAAUGGAUUAUAAGCAUAAUCAUCCUAGUAUACAAAUUCUCUCAAGGCAAAGCUUGACAAAAUAAAUUCUAUCUACCACAGUUUGAGCCACUACAAAGAAUUACAAAGGAGUAGCUAAUCAGAUUACAAAUAUCAAGUCAUGGUGGUUAUCUUAAUAACAAAUAUACUUGCUGUUAAAAGUGAAUUGACUAAUUAAAGCCACAUCAGGCAUCACAUACUACUAGUGCUGCUGCUAAAGUUGGAGUCUGGCAUAAAACAUAUUCAAAAACAUACUAUACACAGCACAAGAAAAAGAAUGUGCCGAUAAUCAGACAACAACUCAUCUCAUCUUUUCAAAUCUCAUACUAGACACACAGAAUUUGGUGUAAUACUGAAAAUAAGCAACACCCCCAGGUAACCGAUGGCAGGGACAUGUAGAACAUGAGAGAGAGGGAGCAUAGCGGGGGAUGAUACCUUGGCGAGCUCCAUUUUG
Molecule: long non-coding RNA, 868 nt
Filed under: Hordeum vulgare
Lineage: Eukaryota; Viridiplantae; Streptophyta; Magnoliopsida; Poales; Poaceae
Description: long non-coding RNA (HVUL_LNC019289)
Source: RNAcentral